AAAGGAAUUGACGGGGGCCCGCACAAGCGGUGGAGCAUGUGGAUUAAUUCGAAGCAACGCGAAGAACCUUACCAAGGCUUGACAUCCCUCUGAAUGGAUUGGAAACAGUCCAGGCCUUCGGGACAGAGGAGACAGGUGGUGCAUGGUUGUCGUCAGCUCGUGUCGUGAGAUGUUGGGUUAAGUCCCGCAACGAGCGCAACCCUUAUCUUUAGUAGCCAUCGGGUAAUGCCGGGUACACUAGAGAGACUGCCGUGGAUAACACGGAGGAAGGUGGGGAUGAGGUCAAAUCAUCAUGCCCCUUAUGUCUUGGGCCUCACACGUGCUACAAUGGCUCGUACAGAGUGAAGCAAGGCAGUGAUGCGGAGCAAAACACAAAAACGAGUCUCAGUUCGGAUUGCAGGCUGCAACCCGCCUGCAUGAAGUUGGAAUCGCUAGUAAUCGCGAAUCAGCACGUCGCGGUGAAUACGUUCCCGGGCCUUGUACACACCGCCCGU
RNAcentral lists this ribosomal RNA (494 nucleotides) under uncultured bacterium. RNAcentral describes it as "bacterial SSU rRNA". It matches the Rfam family "Bacterial small subunit ribosomal RNA", at positions 903 to 1397 of the family's 1533-position model. The record is from RNAcentral.